This 369-nucleotide ribosomal RNA is filed under the name Ozius reticulatus. RNAcentral describes it as "partial 12S ribosomal RNA". The record is from RNAcentral. Lineage: Eukaryota; Metazoa; Arthropoda; Malacostraca; Decapoda; Oziidae.
UAUUAUACUAAGAAGACGAAUAAUAGACCAGAUUAUUAGUAGAUAUAUUCUUUAAAUUUGAAGAAUUUGGCGGUGAUUUAGUCUUGUCAGAGGAACCUGUUUAUGAAUCGAUACACCACGCAGAAUCUUACUCACUCUUGUUUAUAAUGUGCAGCUUAUAUACCAUCAUUAGUAGAUAAUUUUAAAAGAAGUAAUUAUUAAGUUUUAUAAGGUUAAAUAAAAUUAGAUCAAGGUGUAGCUUAUGGGUGAGUUUAAAUGGGUUACAAUAAAAUUUAUUUAUUACGUAAUAGCUGAAGAAUAGUUGGUUAAAAGGAGGAUUUGAUUGUAAUUUGAGUUCAAUAUGCUUGGAAGAUAUAAGCUCUAAAUCAU